ACGCUGGCGGCAGGCCUAACACAUGCAAGCCGAAUGGUAACAGGAAACAGCUUGCUGUUUCGCUGACGAGUGGCGGACGGGUGAGUAAUGUCUGGGAAACUGCCUGAUGGAGGGGGAUAACUACUGGAAACGGUAGCUAAUACCGCAUAACGUCGCAAGACCAAAGAGGGGGACCUUCGGGCCUCUUGCCAUCAGAUGUGCCCAGAUGGGAUUAGCUAGUAGGUGGGGUAACGGCUCACCUAGGCGACGAUCCCUAGCUGGUCUGAGAGGAUGACCAGCCACACUGGAACUGAGACACGGUCCAGACUCCUACGGGAGGCAGCAGUGGGGAAUAUUGCACAAUGGGCGCAAGCCUGAUGCAGCCAUGCCGCGUGUAUGAAGAAGGCCUUCGGGUUGUAAAGUACUUUCAGCGGGGAGGAAGGGAGUAAAGUUAAUACCUUUGCUCAUUGACGUUACCCGCAGAAGAAGCACCGGCUAACUCCGUGCCAGCAGCCGCGGUAAUACGGAGGGUGCAAGCGUUAAUCGGAAUUACUGGGCGUAAAGCGCACGCAGGCGGUUUGUUAAGUCAGAUGUGAAAUCCCCGGGCUCAACCUGGGAACUGCAUCUGAUACUGGCAAGCUUGAGUCUCGUAGAGGGGGGUAGAAUUCCAGGUGUAGCGGUGAAAUGCGUAGAGAUCUGGAGGAAUACCGGUGGCGAAGGCGGCCCCCUGGACGAAGACUGACGCUCAGGUGCGAAAGCGU
RNAcentral lists this ribosomal RNA (740 nucleotides) under uncultured Escherichia sp. RNAcentral's name for it is "bacterial SSU rRNA". It matches the Rfam family "Bacterial small subunit ribosomal RNA", at positions 33 to 762 of the family's 1533-position model. Lineage: Bacteria; Pseudomonadati; Pseudomonadota; Gammaproteobacteria; Enterobacterales; Enterobacteriaceae. The record is from RNAcentral.